ACAAUGAAGAGUUUGAUCCUGGCUCAGGAUGAACGCUAGCUACAGGCUUAACACAUGCAAGUCGAGGGGCAGCAUUGUCAUAGCAAUAUGACAGAUGGCGACCGGCGCACGGGUGAGUAACACGUAUCCAACCUGCCUUCCACUCGGGAAUAGCCUUUCGAAAGAAAGAUUAAUGUCCGAUGGCACUGAAAUAGGCCAUCCUAUUUCAGUUAAAGAAUUUCGGUGGAAGAUGGGGAUGCGUUCCAUUAGCUUGUUGGCGGGGUAACGGCCCACCAAGGCAUCGAUGGAUAGGGGUUCUGAGAGGAAGGUCCCCCACAUUGGAACUGAGACACGGUCCAAACUCCUACGGGAGGCAGCAGUGAGGAAUAUUGGUCAAUGGGCGGGAGCCUGAACCAGCCAAGUAGCGUGAAGGAUGACUGCCCUAUGGGUUGUAAACUUCUUUUAUAAGGGAAUAAAACGGGCCACGUGUGGCCUUUUGCAUGUACCUUAUGAAUAAGGAUCGGCUAACUCCGUGCCAGCAGCCGCGGUAAUACGGAGGAUCCGAGCGUUAUCCGGAUUUAUUGGGUUUAAAGGGAGCGCAGACGGGGUCUUAAGUCAGUUGUGAAAGUUUGCGGCUCAACCGUAAAAUUGCAGUUGAUACUGGGGCUCUUGAGUGCAGUAUAGGCAGGCGGAAUUCGUGGUGUAGCGGUGAAAUGCUUAGAUAUCACGAAGAACUCCGAUUGCGAAGGCAGCCUGCUGGACUGUAACUGACGUUCAUGCUCGAAAGUGCGGGUAUCAAACAGGAUUAGAUACCCUGGUAGUCCGCACAGUAACGAUGAAUACUCGCUGUUGGCGAUACACAGUCAGCGGCCAAGCGAAAGCGUUAAGUAUUCCACCUGGGGAGUACGCCGGCAACGGUGAAACUCAAAGGAAUUGACGGGGGCCCGCACAAGCGGAGGAACAUGUGGUUUAAUUCGAUGAUACGCGAGGGACCUUACCCGGGCUUGAAUUGCUAAUGAAUAUGGCGGAAACGUCAUAGCCGCAAGGCAUUAGUGAAGGUGCUGCAUGGUUGUCGUCAGCUCGUGCCGUGAGGUGUCGGCUUAAGUGCCAUAACGAGCGCAACCCUUAUCUAUAGUUACCAUCAGGCAAUGCUGGGGACUCUAUGGAGACUGCCGUCGUAAGAUGUGAGGAAGGUUGGGAUGACGUCAAAUCAGCACGGCCCUUACGUCCGGGGCUACACACGUGUUACAAUGGGGGGUACAGAAGGCAGCUACACAGCGAUGUGAUGCUAAUCCCAAAAACCUCUCUCAGUUCGGACUGGAGUCUGCAACCCGACUCCACGAAGCUGGAUUCGCUAGUAAUCGCGCAUCAGCCACGGCGCGGUGAAUACGUUCCCGGGCCUUGUACACACCGCCCGUCAAGCCAUGAAAGCCGGGGGUACCUGAAGUGCGUAACCGCAAGGAGCGCCCUAGGGUAAAACUGGUGAUUGGGGCUAAGUCGUAACAAGGUAGCCGUACCGGAAGGUGCGGCUGGAACACCUCCUUU
This is a ribosomal RNA of Bacteroides helcogenes P 36-108, 1524 nucleotides long. It matches the Rfam family "Bacterial small subunit ribosomal RNA". Lineage: Bacteria; Pseudomonadati; Bacteroidota; Bacteroidia; Bacteroidales; Bacteroidaceae. The record is from Rfam.